UUAGUUAAGUGAAGAAGGGCGCACGGUGGAUGCCUUGGCACUAGGAGCCGAUGAAGGACGGGACUAACACCGAUAUGCUUCGGGGAGCUGUAAGUAAGCUUUGAUCCGAAGAUUUCCGAAUGGGGGAACCCGCUAUCCGUUAUUGGAUAGUACGUAUUACUGAAUACAUAGG
RNAcentral lists this ribosomal RNA (172 nucleotides) under Terribacillus saccharophilus. RNAcentral's name for it is "partial 23S ribosomal RNA". It matches the Rfam family "Bacterial large subunit ribosomal RNA", at positions 1 to 170 of the family's 2925-position model. Lineage: Bacteria; Bacillati; Bacillota; Bacilli; Caryophanales; Bacillaceae. The record is from RNAcentral.